AGUGAACGCUGGCGGUAGGCCUAACACAUGCAAGUCGAACGGCAGCACAGUAAGAGCUUGCUCUUACGGGUGGCGAGUGGCGGACGGGUGAGGAAUACAUCGGAAUCUACUUUUUCGUGGGGGAUAACGUAGGGAAACUUACGCUAAUACAGCAUACGACCUACGGGUGAAAGCAGGGGAUCUUCGGACCUUGCGCGAUUGAAUGAGCCGAGGUCGGAUUAGCUAGUUGGCGGGGUAAAGGCCCACCAAGGCGACGAUCCGUAGCUGGUCUGAGAGGAUGAUCCGCCAGACGGGAACUGAGACAGGUCACCGACUCCGGCGGGAGGCAGCAGUGGGGAAUAUUGGGCGAUGGGGGAAAGCCUGAUACAGCAAUACCGCGUGGGUGAAGAAGGACUUCGGGUUGUAAAGCCAUGUUGUUGGGAAAGAAAAGCAGCAGGUUAAUCCCGCGCUGUUCUGACGGUACCCAAAGAAUAAGCACCGGCUAACUUCGUG
Molecule: ribosomal RNA, 492 nt
Filed under: uncultured bacterium
Lineage: Bacteria
Description: partial 16S ribosomal RNA
Rfam family: Bacterial small subunit ribosomal RNA
Source: RNAcentral